GGAGCUGUGCCUGAACGUUUAAGGGACACUUUGAUAGAGUGAACCAUAGGGGUUAAACCCCCCUCGGCUCCU
This 72-nucleotide transfer RNA is filed under the name Engraulis ringens (Peruvian anchovy). Its description in RNAcentral is "tRNA-Ile". The record is from RNAcentral. Lineage: Eukaryota; Metazoa; Chordata; Actinopteri; Clupeiformes; Engraulidae.